UACGUAGGGCGCAAGCGUUAUCCGGAAUUAUUGGGCGUAAAGGGCUCGUAGGUGGUUUGUCGCGUUGUUCGUGAAAACUCACAGCUUAACUGUGGGCGUGCGGGCGAUACGGGCAGACUUGAGUACUGCAGGGGAGACUGGAAUUCCUGGUGUAGCGGUGGAAUGCGCAGAUAUCAGGAGGAACACCGGUGGCGAAGGCGGGUCUCUGGGCAGUAACUGACGCUGAGGAGCGAAAGCGUGGGUAGCAAACAGG
This 253-nucleotide ribosomal RNA is filed under the name uncultured bacterium. RNAcentral's name for it is "partial 16S ribosomal RNA". It matches the Rfam family "Bacterial small subunit ribosomal RNA", at positions 524 to 776 of the family's 1533-position model. The record is from RNAcentral.